AAUAAAUGCAGUUUUGCACUAUUCAUCUCCAACGUUUGACCGUUCGUCUUAUUUGAAAAUUUUUUAUAAUUAUUUUUUUAUUGUUAUUAGAUGAUAAAAUAUGAAUAGUACUUUAUGUGUGACUAUUUUUUUAAAAAAAUUUCAUAAAUUUUUCAAAUAAGACGGACGGUCAAACGUUGGACACGAAUUUCCACGGCUGCACUUAUU
This 207-nucleotide microRNA precursor is filed under the name Oryza barthii. RNAcentral's name for it is "MIR812 microRNA precursor family". It matches the Rfam family "MIR812 microRNA precursor family". The record is from Rfam by way of RNAcentral. Lineage: Eukaryota; Viridiplantae; Streptophyta; Magnoliopsida; Poales; Poaceae.